This 238-nucleotide ribosomal RNA is filed under the name uncultured bacterium. Its description in RNAcentral is "partial 16S ribosomal RNA". It matches the Rfam family "Bacterial small subunit ribosomal RNA", at positions 335 to 589 of the family's 1533-position model. The record is from RNAcentral.
ACUCCUACGGGAGGCAGCAGUGGGGAAUAUUGGACAAUGGGCGAAAGCCUGAUCUAGCCAUGCCGCGUGAGUGAUGAAGGCCUUAGGGUCGUAAAGCUCUUUCGCCUGUGAUGAUAAUGACAGUAGCAGGUAAAGAAACCCCGCGUAACAUCCGUGCCAGCAGCCGCGGUAAUACGGAGGGGGUUAGCGUUGUUCGGAAUUACUGGGCGUAAAGCGCACGUAGGCGGAUUGGAAAGUU